GACGAACGCUGGCGGCGUGCUUAACACAUGCAAGUCGAACGGUGAAGCUCCAGCUUGCUGGAGUGGAUCAGUGGCGAACGGGUGAGUAACACGUGAGCAACCUGCCCCUGACUCUGGAAUAAGCGCUGGAAACGGCGUCUAAUACUGGAUACGAGAAGGGUCCGCAUGGGCACUUUCUGGAAAGUUUUUCGGUUGGGGAUGGGCUCGCGGCCUAUCAGCUUGUUGGUGAGGUAAUGGCUCACCAAGGCGACGACGGGUAGCCGGCCUGAGAGGGCGACCGGCCACACUGGGACUGAGACACGGCCCAGACUCCUACGGGAGGCAGCAGUGGGGAAUAUUGCACAAUGGGCGAAAGCCUGAUGCAGCGACGCCGCGUGGGGGAUGACGGCCUUCGGGUUGUAAACCUCUUUCAGCAGGGAAGAAGCGAAAGUGACGGUACCUGCAGAAGAAGCACCGGCUAACUACGUG
RNAcentral lists this ribosomal RNA (468 nucleotides) under uncultured bacterium. RNAcentral's name for it is "partial 16S ribosomal RNA". It matches the Rfam family "Bacterial small subunit ribosomal RNA", at positions 28 to 507 of the family's 1533-position model. The record is from RNAcentral.